UGGGGAAUUUUGGACAAUGGACGCAAGUCUGAUCCAGCCAUGCCGCGUGCGGGAAGAAGGCCUUCGGGUUGUAAACCGCUUUUAGCCGGGACGAAAGCUGCACGGAUAACACCCGUGCGGGUUGACGGUACCGGCGGAAUAAGCACCGGCUAACUACGUGCCAGCAGCCGCGGUAAUACGUAGGGUGCGAGCGUUAAUCGGAAUUACUGGGCGUAAAGCGUGCGCAGGCGGUUCGUUGUGUCGGCGGUGAAAGCCCCGGGCUCAACCUGGGAAUGGCCGUUGAAACUGGCGAACUGGAGUGUGGCAGAGGGGGGUGGAAUUCCGCGUGUAGCAGUGAAAUGCGUAGAGAUGCGGAGGAACACCGAUGGCGAAGGCAGCCCCCUGGGCUGACACUGACGCUCAGGCACGAAAGCGUGGGGAGCAAACAGGAUUAGAUACC
Molecule: ribosomal RNA, 439 nt
Filed under: uncultured bacterium
Lineage: Bacteria
Description: bacterial SSU rRNA
Rfam family: Bacterial small subunit ribosomal RNA
Source: RNAcentral